GGCGGCGUGGAUAAGACAUGCAAGUCGAGCGAGAUUUUUUCUUGUAGCAAUACAGGGAAAAGUCUAGCGGCGAACGGGUGCUUAACACGUGGGCAACCUGCCGUGAAGUGGGGGAUAGCUCGCCGAAAGGCGAAUUAAUACCGCAUGUGAUUAGAGAGGACAUCCUUUCGAAAUUAAAGUCGGGGCAACCUGACGCUUCUUGUGGGGCCCGCGGCCUAUCAGCUAGUUGGUGAGGUAACGGCUCACCAAGGCUUUGACGGGUAGCUGGUCUGAGAGGACGACCAGCCACACUGGGACUGAGACACGGCCCAGACACCUACGGGUGGCAGCAGUCGAGAAUUUUUGACAAUGGGGGAAACCCUGAUCGAGCGACGCCGCGUGGAGGAUGAAGGUCUUCGGAUUGUAAACUCCUGUCAUUGGGGAACAAGGUGCAUACGUUAACUGCGUGUGUAUUGAUAGUACCCGAAGAGGAAGGGACGGCUAACUCUGUGCCAGCAGCCGCGGUAAUACAGA
Molecule: ribosomal RNA, 513 nt
Filed under: uncultured Verrucomicrobiota bacterium
Lineage: Bacteria; Pseudomonadati; Verrucomicrobiota
Description: bacterial SSU rRNA
Rfam family: Bacterial small subunit ribosomal RNA
Source: RNAcentral